Stomoxys calcitrans (stable fly) is the source of this 525-nucleotide long non-coding RNA. RefSeq lists it as uncharacterized. The transcript has 2 exons. The record is from RefSeq and is a predicted model, not a curated record. NCBI's taxonomy places the organism in Eukaryota, Metazoa, Arthropoda, Insecta, Diptera, Muscidae.
GUUUGUGCUUGGGGUUUGCUGUUGUUCUGAUGAAAAUCGGAUGAUGAUGGCGACUGUGUCAGUGUGUCGAUGCGUUUUGAAGGUCCGAUAAAAUUACAUGAAUUUUGCUCAACGAAAAACAAAAAGAACAAAAAAAAGGAAUGUCAUAUCCUUGAAUGACAUAGAUUUUCAUAUUAAUCGAAUUUCAUGCAAGUAAUUUGUCAUCAUCUGUCAAUUUUCCCAUGGUGGAUAGAUGCAAUCAGUCCAUUGAUACUUGGUCCAGCGUAACGUUAUCAAGUCCGUUAUGAAUGCGAUGACAGUGGAGGUGGUGGUGGUGGUAGUGUUCAAUGGUGGGACAUGUGAAUUGGAUGAAAUGAGCAGGAUAAAGGACGGUUAUGGUUAAUGGUUUAUGUGGGAAUGUCAUUGUUGUAUUAAAUUACAAAUUAUACAUAUUGAAAGUAGGCAGCAAGGAUAGUGAGAUGGUGAUGUGGAUGUGUAUGGCGGUGAAAAUGAUUAUAAAUAUAUAAAAAUGUAUAUACACAUGUA